This 584-nucleotide ribosomal RNA is filed under the name uncultured bacterium. RNAcentral describes it as "bacterial SSU rRNA". It matches the Rfam family "Bacterial small subunit ribosomal RNA", at positions 102 to 682 of the family's 1533-position model. The record is from RNAcentral.
ACGGGUGAGGAAUACAUCGGAAUUUGCCCUGUCGUGGGGGAUAACGUAGGGAAACUUACGCUAAUACCGCAUACGACCUAACGGUGAAAGCGGGGGAUCGCAAGACCUCGCGCGGUUGGAUAAGCCGAUGUCAGAUUAGCUAGUUGGCGGGGUAAAGGCCCACCAAGGCGACGAUCUGUAGCUGGUCUGAGAGGAUGAUCAGCCACACUGGGACUGAGACACGGCCCAGACUCCUACGGGAGGCAGCAGUGGGGAAUAUUGGACAAUGGGGGCAACCCUGAUCCAGCAAUGCCGCGUGUGUGAAGAAGGCCUUCGGGUUGUAAAGCACUUUUAUCAGGAGCGAAACACGUAAGGUUAAUAACCUUGCGGACUGACGGUACCUGAGGAAUAAGCACCGGCUAACUUCGUGCCAGCAGCCGCGGUAAUACGAAGGGUGCAAGCGUUACUCGGAGUUACUGGGCGUAAAGCGUGCGUAGGUGGUUUCUUAAGUCUGCUGUGAAAGCCCCGGGCUCAACCUGGGAAUUGCAGUGGAUACUGGGGAGCUAGAGUGCGGUAGAGGGUAGUGGAAUUCCCGGUGUAGCGGU